UACGUAGGGGGCGAGCGUUGUCCGGAAUCAUUGGGCGUAAAGCGCGUGUAGGCGGCUUGGUAAGUCCGGUGUGAAACCUUGGGGCUCAACCCCAAGCCUGCAUUGGAUACUGCCUCGCUUGAGUCCGGGAGGGGAGAGCGGAAUUCCUAGUGUAGCGGUGAAAUGCGCAGAUAUUAGGAAGAACACCGGUGGCGAAGGCGGCUCUCUGGAACGGUACUGACGCUGAGACGCGAAAGCGUGGGGAGCGAACAGG
RNAcentral lists this ribosomal RNA (253 nucleotides) under uncultured bacterium. Its description in RNAcentral is "partial 16S ribosomal RNA". It matches the Rfam family "Bacterial small subunit ribosomal RNA", at positions 524 to 776 of the family's 1533-position model. The record is from RNAcentral.